UAAGUAGGAGGCAAGCGUUAUCCGGAAUGACUGGGCGUAAAGGGUGCGUAGGUGGUUUGACAAGUUGGUAGCGCAACUCCGGGGCUCAACCUCGGCACUACUACCAAAACUGUUGAACUUGAGUGCAGGAGGGGCAAAUGGAAUUCCUAGUGUAGCGGUGGAAUGCGUAGAUAUUAGGAGGAACACCAGUGGCGAAGGCGGCUUACUGGACAGUAACUGACGUUGAGGCUCGAAAGCGUGGGGAGCAAACAGG
RNAcentral lists this ribosomal RNA (253 nucleotides) under uncultured Eubacteriales bacterium. Its description in RNAcentral is "uncultured Clostridiales bacterium partial 16S ribosomal RNA". It matches the Rfam family "Bacterial small subunit ribosomal RNA", at positions 524 to 776 of the family's 1533-position model. The record is from RNAcentral. Lineage: Bacteria; Bacillati; Bacillota; Clostridia; Eubacteriales.